Molecule: ribosomal RNA, 461 nt
Filed under: uncultured bacterium
Lineage: Bacteria
Description: bacterial SSU rRNA
Rfam family: Bacterial small subunit ribosomal RNA
Source: RNAcentral
GAUGAACGUUGGCGGUGUGCCUAAUACAUGCAAGUCGAACGGAGUUAAUAGCAAUAUUGACUUAGUGGCGAACGGGUGAGUAACGCGUUGGUGAUCUGCCUUGAAGUGUGGAAUAACGCUCCGAAAGGAGCGCUAAUACCGCAUGUGCUCUCAAUUUUUUAGAAACUUGAGAGGAAAGGAUUUAUUCGCUUUCGAGAGGAGCCUGCGUCCCAUCAGCUGGUUGGUAGGGUAAAGGCCUACCAAGGCAAUGACGGGUAGGGGACCUGAGAGGGUGGCCCCCCAAAUGGAACUGAAACACGGUCCAUACACCUACGGGUGGCAGCAGUAGGGAAUAUUAGAAAUGGACGAAAGUCUGAUCUAGCAACACCGCGUGUGCGAAGAAGGCCUUCGGGUCGUAAAGCACUUUUUGGAAGGAAUAGGAAGGAAUAGUACUUCCAGAAUAAGUCUCGGCUAACUACGUG